GAAGUGUUAGUUAAUGAAUAACAUAGCCUUGUCAUAGCUAAAUUACAGACUACAAUCUGUACACUUUA
Non-coding RNA from Ornithorhynchus anatinus (platypus), 68 nucleotides. The record is from the annotation of a RefSeq genome assembly. NCBI's taxonomy places the organism in Eukaryota, Metazoa, Chordata, Mammalia, Monotremata, Ornithorhynchidae.